GAUGAAGAACGUAGCGAAAUGCGAUACGUAGUGUGAAUUGCAGAAUUCAGUGAAUCAUCGAAUCUUUGAACGCACAUUGCGCCCUUUGGUAUUCCAAAGGGCAUGCCUGUUCGAGCGUCAUUUGUACCCUCAAGCUUUGCUUGGUGUUGGGCGUCUUGUCUCUAGCUUUGCUGGAGACUCGCCUUAAAGUAAUUGGCAGCCGGCCUACUGGUUUCGGAGCGCAGCACAAGUCGCACUCUCUAUCAGCAAAGGUCUAGCAUCCACUAAGCCUUUUUUUCAACUUUUGACCUCGGAUCAGGUAGGGAUACCCGCUGAACUUAAGCAUAUCAAUAAGCGGAGGA
This 341-nucleotide unclassified non-coding RNA is filed under the name soil metagenome. Its description in RNAcentral is "partial contains 5.8S ribosomal RNA, internal transcribed spacer 2, and large subunit ribosomal RNA". The stretch from base 1 to 120 matches the Rfam family "5.8S ribosomal RNA", at positions 35 to 154 of the family's 154-position model. The record is from RNAcentral.